This is a long non-coding RNA of Serinus canaria (Common canary), 730 nucleotides long. RefSeq lists it as uncharacterized. The record is from RefSeq and is a predicted model, not a curated record. The transcript is spliced from 5 exons. Lineage: Eukaryota; Metazoa; Chordata; Aves; Passeriformes; Fringillidae.
CUGUCCUGCCUUUGAGCCCAUCUGUCUGAAGAGCUGGAAUUGAAGAACUUCUGUUCUCUUGGCCUCCUGGUGAAGGCAACAAAGGCCACUGAGGAGUUUGUCUGCAGUGGAACCUGCUGAUGAAUUCUUUCUGGCACCCCUACAGAAGCAGAGCCUGCCCUGUACAUUCCAGUCUGAGCCAGUUCUGCAGCACACAAGGAUGGGAAGAAAGGCAAGGACAGGAGAGCUUUGCUCAGGAACUUCUGUCCAAGAUGCGCCACCCAGUCUUGGAGGUGUCCAAGAUGCGCCACCCAAUCUUUCAUCCGCAGCAAACAAACGCCCAGACCUGCAGGGGGAGGAGGAAUUGGCAGCUGGAAAAGCUGCCUGGAGCAAGGAGCUCACCAGCAGGCUGCAGAGGAGCCAGAGUGAUCUCCAGGACAUCUGUGGGUGUCUGAGUGUGCAGCUAAGGCCCUGCCAGCGUGGUGUCAGGUAAUUUUAACAUUUCUUGUAAGGAGAACUGAAGGAUUUAUAUUCCCUGCCAGGAGGGAAGGCAUGUGCUGCCACUGCAGGUGCCAGCCUGGGCUGCCAGUGAGGCUGAGAGAGCUCUGACCUUUCCCUCUGCCCUCAGCCCUUGGUUCUCCUGCUAACCCAAUUAAACCCCUUUCCUAAUUGGAGUGCCCCCGAUGGGGGUGUGUGACAGCACCAGUGUUUCCAGCAUUUGUGCCACAGCUGAAGUUCCCUUUUGCUGCCU